This 90-nucleotide transfer RNA is filed under the name Candidatus Cardinium hertigii. Its description in RNAcentral is "tRNA-Ser". It matches the Rfam family "tRNA". From Rfam's summary of the family: Transfer RNA (tRNA) molecules are approximately 80 nucleotides in length. Their secondary structure includes four short double-helical elements and three loops (D, anti-codon, and T loops). Further hydrogen bonds mediate the characteristic L-shaped molecular structure. tRNAs have two regions of fundamental functional importance: the anti-codon, which is responsible for specific mRNA codon recognition, and the 3' end, to which the tRNAs corresponding amino acid is attached (by aminoacyl-tRNA synthetases). tRNAs cope with the degeneracy of the genetic code in two manners: having more than one tRNA (with a specific anti-codon) for a particular amino acid; and 'wobble' base-pairing, i.e. permitting non-standard base-pairing at the 3rd anti-codon position. Lineage: Bacteria; Pseudomonadati; Bacteroidota; Cytophagia; Cytophagales; Amoebophilaceae. The record is from RNAcentral.
GGAGGGUUGGCAGAGUGGUUUAAUGUAACGGUCUUGAAAACCGUCGUAUCUUAGCUGAUACCGAGGGUUCGAAUCCCUCACCCUCCUCCA